UACGUAGGUGGCAAGCGUUGUCCGGAUUUAUUGGGUUUAAAGGGUGCGUAGGCGGCCUUGUAAGUCAGUGCUGAAAUAUCCCGGCUUAACCGGGAGGGUGGCAUUGAUACUGCAGGGCUUGAGUAAAGUUGAGGUUGGCGGAAUUGACGGUGUAGCGGUGAAAUGCUUAGAUAUCGUCAGGAACACCGAUAGUGAAGACAGCUAACUAAGCUUUAACUGACGCUGAGGCACGAAAGUGUGGGGAUCAAACAGG
RNAcentral lists this ribosomal RNA (253 nucleotides) under uncultured bacterium. RNAcentral's name for it is "partial 16S ribosomal RNA". It matches the Rfam family "Bacterial small subunit ribosomal RNA", at positions 524 to 776 of the family's 1533-position model. The record is from RNAcentral.